AGAUUGAACGCUAGCGGGAUGCUUUACACAUGCAAGUCGAACGGCAGCGCGGACUUCGGUCUGGCGGCGAGUGGCGAACGGGUGAGUAAUAUAUCGGAACGUGCCCAGUAGCGGGGGAUAACUACGCGAAAGCGUGGCUAAUACCGCAUACGCUCUACGGGGGAAAGGGGGGAUCGCAAGACCUCUCACUAUUGGAGCGGCCGAUAUCAGAUUUAGCUAGUCGU
This 224-nucleotide ribosomal RNA is filed under the name uncultured soil bacterium. RNAcentral's name for it is "partial 16S ribosomal RNA". It matches the Rfam family "Bacterial small subunit ribosomal RNA", at positions 26 to 252 of the family's 1533-position model. The record is from RNAcentral.